CUGCAGAUAUUAGUAAUUCAAAAUUAUCUUACAGGUGGAAAAGUGACAAGCUAGACAACAUGCCUUUCAAGAGAUCUCCUUCCAUUUUUAUUCUGAAUCACAUGUAGUCCUCUGAGUGGGAAAAUAAGCUUUAAAGGCAUAGAAUCCAUAGCAGCCCUAAAUAGAGAAGUGAAGAUUUUAUAUUC
Long non-coding RNA from Oxyura jamaicensis (ruddy duck), 185 nucleotides. RefSeq lists it as uncharacterized. NCBI's taxonomy places the organism in Eukaryota, Metazoa, Chordata, Aves, Anseriformes, Anatidae. The transcript has 3 exons. The record is from RefSeq and is a predicted model, not a curated record.